Molecule: long non-coding RNA, 629 nt
Filed under: Homo sapiens (human)
Lineage: Eukaryota; Metazoa; Chordata; Mammalia; Primates; Hominidae
Description: HSALNT0183153
Source: RNAcentral
AUUCCAUGUCUGUGUGAAGUUGGCAGGUUCUUAUUUUAAUACGCUGCCUCAUAACCAUCAUCCUAAUCUGAGUUGAGGGGGUGCAUUUUGGCGAUGGAGAAAAACAUGGCCUUGUGAGAAAACAGGAAAAAAUGUCUCAGGGUCAUUGUCAAGGAGUCCUUUUUAUGCUCCGGUAAGAAAGAUGUGGAAACUCAAAUAAAGAGAGGUGAAAGAGUCCCCAGGACAACACAAAAAGGUGACAGAGCCACUGAAUUUAAAUCCAUACCCUCUAAUUCAAGGAAAUGAAAGAAGAGUUUUGAAGAGACAGCUGCCCUCCAUGCUCACGGCAGCAUCAUUCAAAACAGCUAAGAUGAAGAAACAACUAAAAAAGUCUGUUGAGAAAUGAAUAAAGAAAUACAAUAAUUUGUUUUUUUCUUCUUCCCACUUUCAACUUGUGAGACCCCAUCACUGCCUUUUGGACUCUUGCUUCUUUUCUGAUUCAUGUUCCUGUUCACCAUCACCUGCCCCACAGCACCCUCACAGGAAAAGAAAAAAAAAAGCCAAAACAAAACCGAUCUCUUUGUUCACUGGAUCAAAAGUCUUUUAUUAUAGUGCAUUCAGACAUUCAGAAUACAUAUAUGAGGCCUGCU